Choloepus didactylus (southern two-toed sloth) is the source of this 330-nucleotide long non-coding RNA. RefSeq lists it as uncharacterized. The transcript has 3 exons. NCBI's taxonomy places the organism in Eukaryota, Metazoa, Chordata, Mammalia, Pilosa, Megalonychidae. The record is from RefSeq and is a predicted model, not a curated record.
CAUGAUCUAUGCAACUUUUAAAAACCCUUUCCUGAAUUAUUGUGGAACUCUGGAAAAAUUUGUGAUUACUCUGCUGCUGGGAGGAGUAAAUGGCAGAAAUUUCCAGUUUGCUUCUAUGGAAUCUGCUGGUUGAAAAAUUUGCCCUUCCUUUUUCUGUAAUGGAAGACUGAGUCCAAAGUAGGUUGACAUCUAUGGUUGUGCAGUUAGAGAAGUCUCCUGGAGCAAAUGAAUCCUGUUUAGACCUUCGCAUGUAUGGAGGAUUCAGACAGGGUGAUAAUGAAAAUAAUGAGAAACACCGGUGUUCCGGUUUGCUAAAGCUGCCAAAAUGCA